This is a long non-coding RNA of Camarhynchus parvulus, 173 nucleotides long. RefSeq lists it as uncharacterized. The transcript is spliced from 3 exons. The record is from RefSeq and is a predicted model, not a curated record. NCBI's taxonomy places the organism in Eukaryota, Metazoa, Chordata, Aves, Passeriformes, Thraupidae.
CGAUGGACAAUUCAUGAGCUACUGCUAAGCUCUGGAAAGCUCAGAUAGCACAUGGACAGUCAUGCCUUAGUAACAGUCAGAAGAACCAACUCAAGACAAACACAUUUCCAUCAUGUAUGGAAUGUCUACCAAGAAGUUAUUUAUUCUGUCCUUAACAAUAUCUGCAUCUGCCC